RNAcentral lists this long non-coding RNA (279 nucleotides) under Homo sapiens (human). RNAcentral describes it as "non-protein coding lnc-SMPD2-5:1". The record is from RNAcentral. Lineage: Eukaryota; Metazoa; Chordata; Mammalia; Primates; Hominidae.
GAAAAAUAUUGAUACUAGUGCCUGGGUACUGAUUUAAUUGGUCUGGAGUAAUGUCUGAGCAUCAGCAGUUUUAAAAGCUUCCCAGGUGUUUCUAAUCUGCAGCUUAGGUGGAAAACCAGUGCUUUACUCUUGCUUUCCAGAGUGUGGUUCUCAAACCAUUAUCAUUUAUAUCACCUAGAAAUGCAGAACCUCAGGCCUCCCCCUCAGAUCUCCUGAAUCAGAACCUACAUUUUAACAAGAUUCCCAGAAGAUAUGUACAUGUGUAAAGUAUUAAAGUUG